Molecule: ribosomal RNA, 81 nt
Filed under: Propionibacteriales bacterium
Lineage: Bacteria; Bacillati; Actinomycetota; Actinomycetes; Propionibacteriales
Description: partial 16S ribosomal RNA
Rfam family: Bacterial small subunit ribosomal RNA
Source: RNAcentral
UUUAACGGAGAGUUUGAUCCUGGCUCAGGACGAACGCUGGCGGCGUGCUUAACACAUGCAAGUCGAGCGGUAAGGCCCUUU